AGUGAACGCUGGCGGUAGGCCUAACACAUGCAAGUCGAACGGCAGCGCAGUAAGAGCUUGCUCUUACGGGUGGCGAGUGGCGGACGGGUGAGGAAUACAUCGGAAUCUACUUUUUCGUGGGGGAUAACGUAGGGAAACUUACGCUAGUACCGCAUACGACCUACGGGUGAAAGCAGGGGAUCUUCGGACCUUGCGCGAUUGAAUGAGCCGAUGUCGGAUUAGCUAGUUGGCGGGGUAAAGGCCCACCAAGGCGACGAUCCGUAGCUGGUCUGAGAGGAUGAUCAGCCACACUGGAACUGAGACACGGUCCAGACUCCUACGGGAGGCAGCAGUGGGGAAUAUUGGACAAUGGGCGCAAGCCUGAUCCAGCCAUACCGCGUGGGUGAAGAAGGCCUUCGGGUUGUAAAGCCCUUUUGUUGGGAAAGAAAAGCAGCAGGUUAAUACCCCGCUGUUCUGACGGUACCCAAAGAAUAAGCACCGGCUAACUUCGUG
Molecule: ribosomal RNA, 492 nt
Filed under: uncultured bacterium
Lineage: Bacteria
Description: partial 16S ribosomal RNA
Rfam family: Bacterial small subunit ribosomal RNA
Source: RNAcentral